This 253-nucleotide ribosomal RNA is filed under the name uncultured bacterium. RNAcentral's name for it is "partial 16S ribosomal RNA". It matches the Rfam family "Bacterial small subunit ribosomal RNA", at positions 524 to 776 of the family's 1533-position model. The record is from RNAcentral.
UACGUAGGGUGCAAGCGUUAUCCGGAAUUAUUGGGCGUAAAGAGCUCGUAGGCGGUUUGUCGCGUCUGCUGUGAAAACCGGAGGCUCAACCUCCGGCCUGCAGUGGGUACGGGCAAACUAGAGUGCGGUAGGGGAGAUUGGAAUUCCUGGUGUAGCGGUGGAAUGCGCAGAUAUCAGGAGGAACACCGAUGGCGAAGGCAGAUCUCUGGGCCGUAACUGACGCUGAGGCGCGAAAGCCAGGGGAGCAAACGGG